This is a long non-coding RNA of Culex pipiens pallens (northern house mosquito), 874 nucleotides long. RefSeq lists it as uncharacterized. NCBI's taxonomy places the organism in Eukaryota, Metazoa, Arthropoda, Insecta, Diptera, Culicidae. The transcript is spliced from 2 exons. The record is from RefSeq and is a predicted model, not a curated record.
AUGGCCUGUAUACCCUAUUUUGUGCAACCAGUUUAUGGAGCGUUCACCCUAUAUGGACUGUCAAAAGCGAGGUUCACUUUUUGACAAGCUUGCCACCAGUCUGACAACCACAGACCAACAUAAAAAAAAAAUCGCGAUCGACAAAAAAUGAGAAUGGCAAAAUAAAAUGGACUCUAAGGAGCUUCUUAUCCCAGUAGUUCCAUGGCAAGCACGAGGGACAGUUUCAUGGGCAGCAAUUCGACCGUGUCGUCAGCACCAACAGCAGCAGCACAACGGCAAGCAACAAUACCUGCAAGUGACCUACGCUUAGGCAAAUGUAAUUGGAAAGCGCAUCCGCAUAAAGCUGUGCAGUCCGCGGCCUUGCUCGAUAUACAUACAUAUCCAAGUUCGGCCUCUAACGUCCCAGAAUCAACUCCAAGACGAUGGCACAAGACAACAAUCAAAAGUACAACCCGGCUUUCCAGAAGCUGGCGACAUUUCUCGCCAUUGUCGUCGUUAUCUUCUCCAGUUUUACCUAAAUCCAGUCCGAAACGACCGCCGGUCUCAACGCAGGUUCACGGAUGGUUGAAGGUCGACUAGUGCAAAAAUCUGUUUCGGGACGGCAGAAAUCGACGACUAAUUCGUGGUAAUAAACGACUACCGCUACUUACUUAAAGAACAGUUCUAUUAUACAAAAUCGAUGCCAACAUUACAAAAAGCAUCAUGUACAAACCAUCCUUUUUGAGAAAAACGCAUUUGAAUGUUAAGCAUCAUUUUUCAAUUCCCAUUUUGAUAUAAAAGCAAAAGAAGAUGUUUUAAUGAUAACAAACGAUGAAAAACGUGGCUUUUAUUGAUAUUUGAUCAUCCAUAUUCAAUAAAACAUUAUUUCCUCAAA